This 454-nucleotide ribosomal RNA is filed under the name uncultured Porphyromonadaceae bacterium. RNAcentral's name for it is "bacterial SSU rRNA". It matches the Rfam family "Bacterial small subunit ribosomal RNA", at positions 341 to 792 of the family's 1533-position model. The record is from RNAcentral. Lineage: Bacteria; Pseudomonadati; Bacteroidota; Bacteroidia; Bacteroidales; Porphyromonadaceae.
ACGGGAGGCAGCAGUGAGGAAUAUUGGUCAAUGGGCGGAAGCCUGAACCAGCCAAGUCGCGUGAAGGAUGAAGGUAUUAUGUAUUGUAAACUUCUUUAGCUGUGGAGCAAUAAUCUCCAUGUAUGGAGAGAUGAGAGUACACAGAGAAUAAGGAUCGGCUAACUCCGUGCCAGCAGCCGCGGUAAUACGGAGGAUCCGAGCGUUAUCCGGAUUUAUUGGGUUUAAAGGGUGCGCAGGCGGGCUGCUAAGUCUCCGGUGAAAUGUCAGGGCUCAACCUUGGCACUGCCGGAGAUACUGGCGGCCUUGAGAGUGGCGGAGGUAUCCGGAAUGUGUGGUGUAGCGGUGAAAUGCAUAGAUAUCACACAGAACACCGAUUGCGAAGGCAGGAUACCAUACCAUAUCUGACGCUCAGGCACGAAAGCGUGGGGAUCGAACAGGAUUAGAUACCCUGGUA